UAAGUUCGACAUUUAAUAUCAUCCCUCUCGGCACUCUGUAAUAGAGACCUAUAAAAGAAAUCCCGGGAACACAAAGUAGAUAAAUUACAAGCAUCAACAUAGACAUACGGUGAUGCGUAAGUUUAAUUAUCACAAACCAAAUGAAGUACCAUUUCUAUCAAAACUCUGGAAUGCACAAUUAACACACUAAUUAUUACUGUACAGGGACAAAAUAAGCUCAGCUUGGGCACAAAAACUUGACUAGAAAUCGCAAGAUAUUAAAAUAAUCCAUUUUCUAGUCCACACAGUAUUACAAAGGAGAUCAAUAAAACUAUACCACCUAUGGGUCAAGUAAAUAUAUUUCUUUGAGCAUUCUAGUCAUCCCUCUCAUCCACUAGCGGAGCUACCUCUUGGCGAAAUAGGCUAUGGCCCGCCCAUGUUGUAGCAAGUUUAAUGGAGGUUGAUGGGUAAAUUAGACCAAGCUGAUAAAAAUAGUUGGCUUUCUUUGUACUAGCCCGCCCAGGUUUGGGGCUGUAGCUCCGCUACUGCUCUCAUCGCAACAAGGACCUGCAGAAAGUAGAAACAUUGUUCAGAAAUUGGUUGGGUACCCAUACUUUUGUACUGAGGUAAACCUUUUCAUCGAACUGUUGCCAAAUUUUCAAAGAACUUGAACUUCAGAUUUAGAAGAAAUUCAGACCUCACCUGAGUGAGUACUGAAGAUGCAAAGAAUAGGCUUUUUAGGGACUUUGACUUUGGCAACUUGUUUUUGCUGCAACCUGCAAAAAAUAGGAACAAGAUAAGAUUUUUUUCAAGGGGAAGUUAACAGGGUUUGGCGUUCGAAUGAUCUAGGGGGUUCUGUCCAAACUUUUUCAGAGUUUUUAUGUAAAUAUGCAUCGAUCAGCAAAUAGCAUCAUUUUAAGCAACAAAAUUUUGAUAGCAAUCAACUUUCUAAAAACAACAAACACAGUAGUGCAGCAGCAUGCACAUUCAUCUUCCUGAAUUUAUUCUCACUUUCUGUAAAUGCCAAACCAGAAUACAUAGCAGUAGCAACCCCACAUACACAUUCAUCUCUCAAAUCUCUCUCAAACUCGCUCACUUCCUGUAAUGCAAUAGGAUUGAGGGUCGGGAGCAGAGGUAUCUGGAAAGAACAAUUAAUUGGCUGAUGGAUUCGAAGUUGAGAUCAAACAAAACAAGUUAAGAUUAAAGAACAAUUGAUUGUUCCCCAGAUUGAAUGGAAGGAAACGAACAAAAUGAAUCAAUUUGAUUACUGAUUGCGCUGCGGCAGCUACCUUUGUCGAGCUUGAGCAGUUCGUUGAGGGGCACCUUGGGCGGCAUGCUUGGCCUCCUCGUUCUCCUCCACGUCAAGGUUGCUAGUCUGCUCCUUCUCCUUCUCCUUCCUACUUCCUUCUCGAUCGAAGUAACAACAUAAACACCACCACUAGCAACAUUAAAGGUGUGCGUAAGGGUUAUGGUCGAAUCAACAUUCAGUACCUCUCUAGCUUCGCUAGUCACCGCACUAGAACUGAACUUCAGAUAGAAAAUAGAGGCAACAAUAGCAGCAAUUGGUAGCUGUUUAGGGGCAUGCAUCAGCAACAACAGAAAGGAUGCGGCUGUGCCGGGCAGUCCUAGGUGCAGUAGCAGCUUGCUGCAAGGAGCGGCUUGCACUCAGCUCCUUGAGCGACCAGCCAUAAAGGAACCAGUUGGACUGUUGAGCUGGAGGUCCUUGACCCCGUGACUCCUCCAGCAGGCUCCACUUUUUGCUGCUGAAGCAUAAGGCAUGGCCUUGGAGAGGUCAUGUUGCAGGGUGUCGAGUGCCUCGUAGAGAUGGUUGGCGCAGACGCAUCCGGAGCAGGGAACCGAAGCCAUGCUGCAGGGAGACCGGCGGCGACACUCGGGGUAGAGAAGCCAGCCGAGGUCCACAUGUGAGGUCGGAGGUUGCGGAUCCCAGGCAUGCGGCAACGGAUGGAGGUUAGAGCCAGUGGAUGCUCGAGCAUGGGAAAAUCCUUGAACUUGGCGUACACCAGUAGUAGCACUUACUGGUUCUCCGCCACCUAAAAUGCAGAACACAUGGAAAAUAAGAAUUGCACUGAUCCAAAAUUAGAUUAUGACUGAGUGUGUCACUUGUGUGUGAUCAUUUCUUGUGAAUAUUCCAUCAAACAGGUUUGGUGUCACUUGAUGCAAGAACACAAAACAAGCAUACCGAAAGCUAUAGUUCUUUCAUUCAGCUAUUUUCUGAACUGAGCAGUGCAUUUCUCACUCUCAACAUGUGAAAAAUUCCAAUUAUCUGACGGUAACUAUAUUUGAACUCUGAACUACUAUUGUAACUAUUUUUUGAACUGUUUUAGUUACUGAAGUUUUUGUGGUCUAGGCCCUAAACCACAGUAUGCAUUCCUAUUUUUUGUUUAACAAACUAUAGAAUUUUUUUGAAUCGAACUGCUACUGCAGUGUAUACAUAUCUAAGUGAAUUAUUUUCCAUCAACUAACUGAUUUCACUUUUUUAUGUUGAACUUCUACAAAUCUAUGUUUGCUAGCAACUAAAAAAGCCUACAAAGGUGUACACAUUUAUAGCAAAUCCUAUGAGAGGCAUUUUGAUCAUUACCCAUUUUGAUGAUACGUUGUGUCAACAUGUGCAUAGGAAAACCACCGCUGCAUAAUGAGCAAUUGAUCAAUUUCUCCUUUUGCUCACUUCUUUGUCCCUGCCUCAAGCGAAACCAGAUUUGACAUUAGCUAAAAACGAACAUGAACAUAUCAAAACUAGUAGGCGAGUGCACUGAGACAUUUUAGCAAACACAUGGCAUGCACUCAGCAAAAGCUUAUGCGGUGAAGAAGAAAGAAGGGGGGUGGGCGGGGACCUGGAAGCUGCGAUGAGUGAACGGCCUAGGGCGGCCGGGUUGGACUGGUGGUCACACUGGCGGCGAACCCAACGCCCUGGCCACACCGGGAUGACAGGCAACCAGAAGGAGGUAUAGGGCCUGUCCACGGCGGAGACAUUGAACGGCCCAUGGUCGCACGUUGAACUGCCUGCACGCGGUGGGGAAGAAGGACGGACAGCGUGCGCUGGGGAGGGAGGUCGUGGCGGCGGCACACUAGGGGAGGGGGUGUGGUGGCGGCGCGCUGGGCCAAGGGCGGAUGGCAUCGCGCUGGGGCAGGGCCGGUCGACGGCGCGCUGGGAAGGGACCGGUCGGCGGCGCGCUGGGCCAAGGGCGGACNNNNNNNNNNNNNNNNNNNNNNNNNNNNNNNNNNNNNNNNNNNNNNNNNNNNNNNNNNNNNNNNNNNNNNNNNNNNNNNNNNNNNNNNNNNNNNNNNNNNNNNNNNNNNNNNNNNNNNNNNNNNNNNNNNNNNNNNNNNNNNNNNNNNNNNNNNNNNNNNNNNNNNNNNNNNNNNNNNNNNNNNNNNNNNNNNNNNNNNNNNNNNNNNNNNNNNNNNNNNNNNNNNNNNNNNNNNNNNNNNNNNNNNNNNNNNNNNNNNNNNNNNNNNNNNNNNNNNNNNNNNNNNNNNNNNNNNNNNNNNNNNNNNNNNNNNNNNNNNNNNNNNNNNNNNNNNNNNNNNNNNNNNNNNNNNNNNNNNNNNNNNNNNNNNNNNNNNNNNNNNNNNNNNNNNNNNNNNNNNNNNNNNNNNNNNNNNNNNNNNNNNNNNNNNNNNNNNNNNNNNNNNNNNNNNNNNNNNNNNNNNNNNNNNNNNNNNNNNNNNNNNNNNNNNNNNNNNNNNNNNNNNNNNNNNNNNNNNNNNNNNNNNNNNNNNNNNNNNNNNNNNNNNNNNNNNNNNNNNNNNNNNNNNNNNNNNNNNNNNNNNNNNNNNNNNNNNNNNNNNNNNNNNNAUUAUUUUCAAUAUACUUCAUUAAAUAUUCUAAGAUACCCCAAUAUGAGUUUAGUUGAAAAAAUAUCAUCUGCGGCGUACUUUUUAUAAUAUACCUUUUUCACGUACAAACACAUCAGUAUAUACGUAAACAUUUAAAAAUAUGUAGACUCACAUGAAUUUUUUUAUGGAACUCAUUUUGGGGUAUCUAAUAAUUACUAAUGAAGUAUAUUAAAAAUAAUAAAGUGGUAUAAAAGAUUUAUCUAUGUGGUAUAUGAGAAGCGAAAAUACGUACUCCCAGGAGUACAUAACCAUUUUCAUAUAUAUAUAUAUAUAUAUAUAUAUAGUGUUAUUAUUCAACACACAGGGUGUAGAAUAAAUUAUUUUUCACCCGAGGUAAUAUUACGAUCGCUUCCUAAAUAAAUUACUUUUACAAUAUAAAUAGUUACAUGCAUAUUGAUUCAAUAUGUAAAAUUUGAUAUAAAAAAGGUUAUAAGAUCAGAAAAAUCACAUUUUAUGUACGUUUUACACUAUGUUCUUACAUUCGUAAUUUUACGUAACAUAAAAUAUUUUUUACGACGAAUACAUAUUUUCUUACGUUCUCUUUUUAGUAUAAAAUAACACAAAAUUUACGAAACGUAAAAAUAAGUUGCAUUGAUGUCAAAAUUGAAAGGGAGUGAAAAAUAACUAUUCCUCACCCAGGGUGACAAAUAGCGCGACCCGACACUAAUUAGCCCGAACCAUCCCUGUUAUGCGUGCCUCUAUGACCGCAUGUGGAAAAUCCUCGUAAAAACGACAAUGAAAGAUAGUAAUGAAUUACGUCAACACUCCGUGGGACAAUAAAUCUAGCUAUAGAAAAAUUCCUCGUAAAAUCUAAUGGAAUGUAGUAAUGGAUUACCAUCUCCAUUGUGGGAUGAUUAAUUUAGCUAUCCAUGAUUUCGAAACAUUUACAUAGUAAUACAUCCAUGCAAUGCAGUAACGGAGUUGCUAACAAACAUAGUAACGAUUACUAGAUUGCCAUAAAUAUUACGGUAUAACCAAAUGCUCCCAUUACUUGGUCGAAGUCUCCUACAUUAAAAAUUACUGUAAAGUACACAUUGUGUUACUACAAUUAGGGCUGUAAGCACUAUACUAGUAGAUGGUAAUUGCAUUACCAAUAUAAUAUAAACCAAUUAAUUGGAGAACCACUAAGAUAUGCUUACUUUCCAUGCAUUGACUAUAAGCCACAUGAUUUUUAACAUUACCACAUGUUCACUUUAUUUUACAAUUCUUAACAACCAUGACCAUUAGAUUUCUCACAUGUACUAAUUUAUUACUAGAUUUCAGCAUGUUUUUACUAGUUUUACCGGGUGACAGAUUGAACCAUCACUAAUUUUUGGCUUGAUAAAACAUUUUCUUUCAUUACCAUCUACUGCAUCCUUUUACUGCCAAUAAUUAGUGAGCAAGGCACAUGGAUAAAAAAACGAUUUACUACAUGAGCAAGGCACGUGUAGUAAAUCUUUUUUUACUAGACAAUGGAUCAGACCACCCGUAAUAUAUUGCUUGGUAAAGUAUUUCAUCCAUUACCAUCUAUUCUAUAUUUUUUACUAUCAUUAAUUAGUGAGUUUAGAAGCAGGCGCGUACGGGGCCGUGGUAGGAUGGUAACCAAAUUAAAGCCAUUAUGAUUUUCUUUAACCGAUUUUACCUUCAGUUAAUUAGUGGAGGGGCAGCCUAUUUGUUGGGGAACGUAGUAAUUUCAAAAAAUUUCCUACGCACAUGCAAGAUCAUGGUGAUGAUAUAGCAACGAGGGGAGAGUGUUGUCUACGUACCCUCGUAGACCGAAGCGGAAGCGUUGACGCAACGUAGAGGAAGUAGUCGUACGUCCUCCGGUUCAACCGAUCCAAGUACCGUUACUCCGGCACCUCCGAGUUCUUGACACGCGUACAGCUCGAUGACGCACCCUCGAUCUCCGAUCCAGCAGAGGCGCCGAGGGGGAGUUCUGUCAGCACGACGGCGUGGUGACGAUCUUGAUGUUCUCCUGUUGCAGGGCUUCGCCUAAGCACCGCUACAAUAUGACCGAGGUGUAAUAUCGUGGAGGGGGGCACCGCACACGGCUAAGGAACGAUCAAUGAUCAACUUGUGUGUUCUAGGGUGCCCCCUUACCCCCGUAUAUAAAGGAGGGAGGGAGGAGGUGGCCGGCCCUAGGGGGAGCGCGCCAUGAGGAGGGGGAAACCUACUCCAAGUAGGUUUCCCUCUCUUUUCCUUAUCUUAUUUGGAGGGGGAAGGAAAGAGUACUAGUAUUAGGAAGUAGUACUAGUAGUAGUAAUAGGAAGAGGGGGAAGGAGAAAGGAAAGGGGGGGCCGGCCCCCCUCCCCAAUUCGGAUUGGGCUUGGGGGGGCGCGCCCCCUCCCUUGCUCCUUCUCUCUUCUUCCUACAUGGGCCCAAUAAGGCCCAUAUACCUCCCGGGGGGUUCCGGUAACCUCCCGGGGCUCCAAACUUCUCCGGAACCUUUCCGGUGUCCAAAUAUAUCCGUCCAAUAUAUCAAUCUUUAUGUCUCGACCAUUUCGAGACUCCUCGUCAUGUCCGCAAUCAUAUCCGGGACUCCAAACAACCUUCGGUACAUCAAAAUACAUAAACUCAUAAUAUAACUGUCAUCGAAACCUUAAGCGUGCGGACCCUAUGGUUCGAGAACGAUGUAGACAUGACUGAGACACAUCUCUGGUCAAUAACCAAUAGCGGGACCUGGAUGCCGAUAUUGGUUCCUACAUAUUCUACGAAGAUCUUUAUCGGUCAAACCGCAUAACAACAUACGUUGUUCCCUUUGUCAUCGGUAUGUUACUUGUCCGAGAUUCAAUCGUCGGUAUCCAAUACCUAGUUCAAUCUCGUUAUCGACAAGUCUCUUUACUCGUUCUGUAAUACUUCAUCUUAUAACUAACUCAUUAGUUACAUGCUUGCAAGGCUUAGGUGAUGAGCAUUGCCGAGAGGGCCCAGAGAUACCUCUCCGACAAUCGGAGUGACAAAACCUAAUCUCGAAUUAUGCUAACUCAACAUGUACCUUCGGAGACACCUGUAGUACUCCUUUAUAAUCACCCAGUUACGUUGUGACGUUUGGUAGUACCCAAAGUGUUCCUCCGGCAAACGGGAGUUACACAAUUCUCAUAGUUACAGGAACAUGUAUAAGUCAUGAAGGAAGCAAUAGCAGAAUACUAAACGAUCAAGUGCUAAGCUAACGGGAUGGGUCAUGUCAAUCACCUCAUUCUCCUAAUGAUGUGAUCCCAUUAAUCAAAUGACAACACAUGUCAAUGGUUAGGAAACAUAACCAUCUUUGAUUAAUGAGCUAGUCAAGUAGAGGCAUACUAGUGACUAUAUGUUUGUCUAUGUAUUCACACAUGUAUCAUGUUUCCGGUUAAUACAAUUCUAGCAUGAAUAAUAAACAUUUAUCAUGAAAUGAGGAAAUAAAUAAUAACUUUAUUAUUGCCUCUAGGGCAUAUUUCCUUCAGUCUCCCACUUGCACUAGAGUCAAUAAUCUAGAUUACAUAGUAAUGAUUCUAACACCCAUGGAGUCUUGGUGCUGAUCAUGUUUUGAUCGUGAGAGAGGCUUAGUCAACGGGUCUGCAACAUUCAGAUCCGUAUGUAUCUUGCAAAUCUCUAUGUCUCCCACUUGGACUUGAUCCCGAAUGGAAUUGAAGCGUCUCUUGAUGUGCUUGGUCCUCUUGUGAAAUGUGGAUUCCUUUGCCAAGGCAAUUGCACCAGUAUUGUCACAGAAGAUCUUCAUUGGUCCCGAUGCACUAGGUAUGACACCUAGAUCGGAAAUGAACUCCUUCAUCCAGACUCCUUCAUUUGCUGCUUCAGAAGCAGCUAUGUACUCCGCUUCACAUGUAGAUCCCGCCACGACGCUUUGUUUAGAACUGCACCAACUUACAGCUCCACCGUUUAAUAAAAACACGUAUCCGGUCUGCGAUUUAGAAUCGUCCGGAUCAGUGUCAAAGCUUGCAUCGACGUAACCAUUUACGACUAGCUCUUUGUCACCUCCAUAUACGAGAAACAUAUCCUUAGUCCUUUUCAGGUAUUUCAGGAUGUUCUUGACCGCUGUCCAGUGAUCCACUCCUGGAUUACUUUGGUACCUACCUGCCAAGCUUAUUGCUAAGCAUACGUCAGGUCUGGUACACAGCAUUGCAUACAUGAUAGAGCCUAUGGCUGAAGCAUAGGGAACAUCUUUCAUUUUCUCUCUAUCUUCUGCUGUGGUCGGGCAUUGAGUUUGACUCAACUUUACACCUUGUAGCACAGGCAAGAAUCCUUUCUUUGCCUGAUCCAUUUUGAACUUUUUCAAAAAAUUUGUCAAGGUAUGUACUUUGUGAAAGUCCUAUUAAGCGUCUUGAUCUAUCUCUAUAGAUCUUGAUGCCCAAUAUGUAAGCAGCUUCACCGAGGUCUUUCAUAGAAAAACUUUUAUUCAAGUAUCCCUUUAUGCUAUCCAGAAAUUCUAUAUCAUUUCCAAUUAAUAAUAUGUCAUCAACAUAUAAAACUAGAAAUGCUACAGAGCUCCCACUCACUUUCUUGUAAAUACAGGCUUCUCCAAAAUUCUGUAUAAAACCAUAUGCUUUGAUCACACUAUCAAAACGUUUAUUCCAACUCCGAGAUGCUUGCACCAGUCCAUAAAUGGAACGUUGGAGCUUGCACACUUUGUUAGCACUUUUUGGAUCAACGAAACCUUCAGGUUGCAUCAUAUACAACUCUUCUUCUAGAAAUCCAUUCAAGAAUGCAGUCUUGACAUCCAUUUGCCAAAUUUCAUAAUCAUGAAAUGCAGCAAUAGCCAACAUGAUUCGGACAGACUUAAGCAUCGCUACGGGUGAGAAAGUCUCAUCGUAGUCAACCCCUUGAACUUGUCGAAAACCUUUUGCAACAAGUCGAGCUUUGUAGACAGUAACAUUACCAUCAGCGUCAGUCUUCUUCUUAAAGAUCCAUUUAUUCUCAAUGGCUUGCCGAUCAUCGGGCAAGUCAACCAAAGUCCAUACUUUUGUUUUCAUACAUGGAUCCUAUCUCAGAUUUCAUGGCCUCUAGCCAUUUUGCGGAAUCUGGGCUCAUCAUCGCUUCCUCAUAGUUCGUAGGUUCAUCAUGGUCUAGUAACAUGACUUCCAGAAUAGGAUUUCCAUACCACUAUGGUGCGGAUCUUACUCUGGUAGACCUACGAGGUUCAGUAAAAACUUGAUCUGAAGUUUCAUGAUCAAUAUCAUUAGCUUCCUCACUAAUUGGUGUAGUUGUCACAGGAACCGGUUCUUGUGAUGAACUACUUUCCAAUAAGGGAGUAGAUACAGUUAUCUCAUCAAGUUCUACUUUCCUCCCACUCACUUCUUUCGAGAGAAACUCCUUCUCUAGAAAGGAUCCGAUUUUAGCAACGAAAAUCUUGCCUUCAGAUCUGUGAUAGAAGGUGUACCCAAUUGUCUCCUUUGGGUAUCCUAUGAAGACACAUUUCUCCGAUUUGGGUUCGAGCUUAUCUGGUUGAAGUUUCUUCACAUAAGCAUCGCAGCCCCAAACUUUGAGAAACGACAACUUUUGUUUCUUGCCAAACCACAGUUCAUAAGGCGUCGUCUCAACGGAUUUUGAUGGUGCCCUAUUUAACGUGAAUGCGGCCGUCUCUAAAGCAUAACCCCAAAACGAUAGCGGUAAAUCGGUAAGAGACAUCAUAGAUCGCACCAUAUCAAGUAAAGUACGAUUACGACGUUCGGACACACCAUUUCGCUGUGGCGUUCCAGGUGGCGUGAGUUGCGAAACUAUUCCACAUUGUUUCAAAUGUAAACCAAACUCGUAACUCAAAUAUUCUCCUCCACGAUCAGAUCGUAGAAACUUUAUUUUCUUGUUACGAUGAUUUUCUACUUCACUCUGAAAUUCUUUGAACUUUUCAAAUGUUUCAGACUUGUGCUUCAUCAAGUAGAUAUACCCAUAUCUGCUCAAAUCAUCUAUGAAGGUGAGGAAAUAACGAUAUCCGCCACGAGCCUCAACAUUCAUCGGACCACAUACAUCUGUAUGUAUGAUUUCCAACAAAUCUGUUGCUCUCUCCAUGUUGGGUUUCGUAGUAAUUUCAAAAAAUUUCCUACGCGCACACAGGAUCAUGUGAUGCAUAGCAACGAGAGGAGAGUGUUGUCUACGUACCCAACGCAGACCGACUGCGGAAGCGAUGACACGACGUAGAGGAAGUAGUCGUAUGUCUUCACGAUCCAACCGAUCAAGCACCGAAACUACGGCACCUCCGAGUUCGAGCACACGUUCAGCUCGAUGACGAUCCCCGGACUCCGAUCCAGCAAAGUGUCGGGGAAGAGUUUCGUCAGCACGACGGCGUGGUGACGAUCUUGAUGAACUACAGCAGCAGGGCUUCGCCUAAACUCCGCUACAGUAUUAUCGAGGAAUAUGGUGGCAGGGGGCACCGCACACGGCUAAGGAAUCGAUCACGUGGAUCAACUUGUGUCAACUUGUGUGUUUAGAGGUGCCCCUGCCUCAGUAUAUAAAGGAGGAGAGGAGGGGAGGCUGGCCGACCAAAGAGGGAGGCGCAGGAGAGUCCUACUCCCUCUGGGAGUAGGAUUCCUCCCCCCAAUCCUAGUCCAACUAGGAUUCCUCGGAGGGGAAGGGAGAGAGGGGGGCCGGCCAUCUUCUCCUAGUCCUAAUAGGACUAGGGGAGGGGGAAGAGGCGCAGCCACCUUGGGCUGCCCCUUUCUCCUUUCCACUAAGGCCCAUGAAGGCCCAUAUGGCUCCCGGGGGGUUCCGGUAACCUCCCGGUAACCCGGUAAAAUCCCAAUUUCACCCGGAACACUUCCGAUGUCCAAACAUAGGCUUCCAAUAUAUCAAUCUUUACGUCUCGACCAUUUCGAGACUCCUCGUCAUGUCCGUGAUCAUAUCCGGGACUCCGAACAACCUUCGGUACAUCAAAAUGCAUAAACUCAUAAUAUAACUGUCAUCGUAACCUUAAGCGUGCGGACCCUACGGGUUCGAGAACAAUGUAGACAUGACCGAGACAUGUCUCUGGUCAAUAACCAAUAGCGGGACCUGGAUGCCCAUAUUGGCUCCUACAUAUUCUACGAAGAUCUUUAUCGGUCAGACCGCAUAACAACAUACGUUGUUCCCUUUGUCAUCGGUAUGUUACUUGCCCGAGAUUCGAUCGUCGGUAUCCAAUACCUAGUUCAAUCUCGUUACUGGCAAGUCUCUUUACUCGUUCCGUAAUACAUCAUCUCACAACUAACAUAUUAGUUGUAAUGCUUGCAAGGCUUAUGUGAUGUGUAUUACCGAGAGGGCCCAGAGAUACCUCUCCGACAAUCGGAGUGACAAAUCCUAAUAUCGAAAUACGCCAACCCAACAUCGACCAUUGGAGACACCUGUAGUACUCCUUUAUAAUCACCCAGUUACGUUGUGACGUUUGGUAGUACCCAAAGUGUUCCUCCGGUAAACGGGAGUUGCAUAAUCUCAUAGUCAUAGGAACAUGUAUAAGUCAUGAAGAAAGCAAUAGCAACAUACUAAACGAUCGGGUGCUAAGCUAAUGGAAUGGGUCAUGUCAAUCAGAUCAUUCUACUAAUGAUGUGACCUCGUUAAUCAAAUAACAACUCAUUGUUCAUGGUUAGGAAACAUAACCAUCUUUGAUUAACGAGCUAGUCAAGUAGAGGCAUACUAGUGACACUUUUGUUUGUCUAUGUAUUCACACAUGUAUUAUGUUUCCGGUAAAUACAAUUCUAGCAUGAAUAAUAAACAUUUAUCAUGAUUAUGAGGAAAUAAAUAAUAACUUUAUUAUUGCCUCUAGGGCAUAUUUCCUUCACAAACAUAGGCUUCCAAUAUAUCAAUCUUUACGUCUCGACCAUUUCGAGACUCCUCGUCAUGUCCGUGAUCACAUCUGGGACUCCGAACAACCUUCGGUACAUCAAAAUGCAUAAACUCAUAAUGUAACUGUCAUCGUAACCUUAAGCGUGCGGACCCUACGGGUUCGAGAACAAUGUAGACAUGACCGAGACAUGUCUCUGGUCAAUAACCAAUAGCGGGACCUGGAUGCCCAUAUUGGCUCCUACAUAUUCUACGAAGAUCUUUAUCGGUCAGACCGCAUAACAACAUACGUUGUUCCCUUUGUCAUCGGUAUGUUACUUGCCCGAGAUUCGAUCGUCGGUAUCCAAUACCUAGUUCAAUCUCGUUACCGGCAAGUCUCUUUACUCGUUCCGUAAUACAUCAUCUCACAACUAACAUAUUAGUUGUAAUGCUUGCAAGGCUUAUGUUAUGUGUAUUACCGAGAGGGCCCAGAGAUACCUCUCCGACAAUCGGAGUGACAAAUCCUAAUCUCGAAAUACGCCAACCCAACAUCGACCAUUGGAGACACCUGUAGUACUCCUUUAUAAUCACCCAUUUACGUUGUGACGUUUGGUAGUACCCAAAGUGUUCCUCCGGUAAACGGGAGUUGCAUAAUCUCAUAGUCAUAGGAACAUGUAUAAGUCAUGAAGAAAGCAAUAGCAACAUACUAAACGAUCAGGUGCUAAGCUAAUGGAAUGGGUCAUGUCAAUCAGAUCAUUCUACUAAUGAUGUGACCUCGUUAAUCAAAUAACAACUCAUUGUUCAUGGUUAGGAAACAUAACCAUCUUUGAUUAACGAGCUAGUCAAGUAGAGGCAUACUAGUGACACUCUGUUUGUCUAUGUAUUCACACAUGUAUUAUGUUUCCGGAAAAUACAAUUCUAGCAUGAAUAAUAAACACUUAUCAUGAUUAUAAGGAAAUAAAUAAUAACUUUAUUAUUGUCUCUAGGGCAUAUUUCCUUCAGUCUCCCACUUGCACUAGAGUCAAUAAUCUAGUUCACAUCGCCAUGUGAUUUAACAGCAAUAGUUCACAUCACCAUGUGAUUAACACCCAUAGUUCACAUCGCUAUGUGACCAACACCCAAAGGGUUUACUAGAUUCAGUAAUCUAGUUCACAUCGCUAUGUGAUUAACACCCAAGGAGUACUAAGGUGUGAUCAUGUUUUGCUUGUGAGAGAAUCUUAGUCAACGGGUAUGUCAUAUACAGAUCCGUAAGUAUUUUGCGAAUUCUAUGUCUACAAUGCUCUGCACGGAGCUACUCUAGCUAAUUGCUCCCACUUUCAAUAUGUAUCUAGAUCAAGACUUAGAGUCAUCUAGAUUAGUUUCAAACUUGCAUCGGCGUAACCUUUUACGACGAACCUUUUUCCAUAAUCGAGAAACAUAUCCUUAUUCCACUAAGGACAAUUUUGACCGCUCUCCAGUGAUCUACUCCUAGAUCACUAUUGUACUCCCUUGCCAAACUUAGUGGUAUGGCAUACAAUAGAUCUGGUAUACAGCAUGGCAUACUUUAUAGAACCUAUGACUGAGGCAUAGGGAAUGACUUUCAUUCUCUUUCUAUUUUCUGCCGUGGUCGGGCUUUGAGUCUUACUCAACUUAACACCUUGCAACACAGGCAAGAACUCCUUCUUUGACUGUUCCAUUUUGAACUAUUUCAAAAAUUUAUCAAGGUAUGUAUUCAUUGAAAAAAUCUUAUCAAGCGUCUUCAUCUAUCUAUAUAGAUCUUGAUGCUCAAUGUGUAAGCAGCUUCACCAAGGUCUUUCUUUGAAAAACUCCUUUCAAACACUCCUUUAUGCUUUACAGAAUAAUUCUACAUUAUUUCCGAUCAACAAUAUGUCAUUCACAUAUACUUUAUCAGAGAUGCUGUAGUGCUCCCACUCACUUUCUUGUAAAUACAGGCUUCACCGCAAGUCUGUAUAAAACUAUAUGCUUUGAUCAACUCAUCAAAGCGUAUAUUCCAACUCCGAGAUUCUUGCACCAGUCCAUAGAUGGAUCACUGGAGCUUGCACAUUUUGUUAGUACCUUUCGGAUUGACAAAACCUUCUGUUGCAUCAUAUACAACUCUUCUUUAAUAAAUCCAUUAAGGAAUGCAGUUUUGUUUAUCCAUUUGCCAGAUUUCAUAAAAUGUGACAAUUACUAACAUGAUUCAGACAGACUCAAGCAUAGAUACGAGUGAGAAGCUCUCAUCGUAGUCAACACCUUGAACUUGUCGAAAAACCUUUUGCAACAAGUCGAGCUUGGUAGAUAGUAAUACUACUAUCAGUGUCCGUCUUCCUCUUGAAGAUCCAUUUAUUCUUAAUGACUCACCGAUCAUCGGGCAAGUCAAUCAAAGUCUAUACUUUGUUCUCAUACAUGGAUCAUAUCUCAGAUUUCAUGGCCUCAAGCCAUUUCGUGGAAUCUGGGCUCAUCAUUGCUUCCUCAUAGUUCGUAGGUUCAUCAUGAUCUAGUAGCAUGACCUCCAGAACAGGAUUACCGUACCACUCUGGUGCGGAUCUUACUCUGGUUGAUCUACGAAGUUCAGUAGUAUCUUGAUCUGAAGUUUCAUGAUCAUUAUCAUUGGCUUCCUCACUAACUGGUGUAGGUGUCACUGAAACAGUUUUCUGUGAUGAACUACUUUCCAGUAAGGGAGCAGGUACAGUUACCUCGUCAAGUUCUACUUUCCUCCCACUCACUUCUUUCGAGAGAAACUCCUUCUCUAGAAAUGAUCCAUUCUUAGCAACAAAUGUUUUGCCUUCGGAUCUGUGAUAGAAGGUGUACCCAAUUGUCUCAUUUGGGUAUCCUAUGAAAACGCACUUCUCCGAUUUGAGUUUGAGCUUAUCAGGAUGAAACUUUUUCAUAUAAGCAUCGCAACCCCAAAUUUAAGAAACGACAGCUUAGGUUUCUUGCCAAACCAUAGUUCAUACGGUGUCGUCUCAACGGAUUUAGAUGGUGCCCUUUUAACGUGAAUGCAGCUGUCUCUAAUGCAUAACCCCAAAACGAUAGUGGUAAAGAGAUAUCAUAGAUCGCACCAUAUCAAAUAAAGUGCGGUUACGACGUUCGGACACACCAUAACAAUGUGGUGUUCCAGGUGGCGUGAGCUGUGAAACUAUUCCACAUUAUUUUAAUUGAAGACCAAACUCAUAACUCAAAUAUUUGUCUCCGCGAUCAGAUCGCAGAAACUUUAUUUUCUUGUUACGAUGAUUUUUCCACUUCACUCUGAAAUUCUUUGAACCUUUCAACUAUUUCAGACUUAUGUUUCAUCAAGUAGAUAUACCCAUAUCUGCUCAAAUCAUCUUGUGAAGGUCAGAAAACAACGAUGCUUGCCACGAGCAUCAGCACUCAUUGGAUUGCAUACAUCGGUAUGUAUUAUUUCCAAUAAGUCAGUAGCUCGUUCCAUUGUUCCGGAGAACGGAGUUUUAGUCAUCUUGCCCAAAAAGGCACAGUUCGCAAGCAUCAAAUGAUUCAUAACCAAGUGAUUCCGAAAAUCCAUCUUUAUGGAGUUUCUUCAUGCGCUUUACACCGAUAUGACCCAAACGGCAGUGCCAUAAAUAAGUUGCACUAUCAUUAUUAACUUUGCAUCUUUUGACAUCAAUAUUAUGAAUAUGUGUAUCACUACGAUCGAGAUCCAAUGAACCAUUUUCAUUGGGUGUGUAACCAUAUAAGGUUUUAUUCAUGUAAAUAGAACAACAGUUUAUUCUCUUACUUAAAUGAAUAACCGUAUUGCAAUAAAUAUGAUCAAAUCAUAUUCAUGCUCAACGCAAACACCAAAUAACACUUAUUUAGGUUCAACACUAAUCCCGAAAGUAUAGGGAGUGUGUGACGAUGAUCAUAUCAAUCUUGGAACCACUUCCAACACACAUCGUCACUUCACCCUUAACUAGUCUCUGUUUAUUCUGCAACUCCCGUUUCGAGUUACUAAUCUUAGCAACUGAACUAGUAUCAAAUACUGAGGGUUUGCGAUAAACACUAGUAAAGUACACAUCAAUAACAUGUAUAUCAAAUAUACUUAUGUUCACUUUGCCAUCCUUCUUAUCCGCCAAUCACUUGGGGUAGAUCCGCUUCCAGUGACCAGUCCCUUUGCAGUAGAAACACUUAGUCUCAGGCUUAGGAUCAGACUUGGGCUUCUUCACUUGAGCAGCAACUUGCUUGCUGUUCUUCUUGAAGUUCCCCUUCUUCCUUCUGCCCCUUUUCUUGAAACUAGUGGUCUUGUCUACCAUCAACACUUGAUGUUUUUCUCGAUUUCUACCUUCGUCAAUUUCCGCAUUACGAAGAGCUUGGGAAUCGUUUCCGUUAUCCCUUGCAUGUCAUAGUUCAUCACGAAGUUCUACUAACUUGGUGAUGGUGACUAGAGAAUUCUGUCAAUCACUAUCUUAUCUGGAAGAUUAACUCCCAUUUGAUUCAAGCGAUUGUAGUAUUCAGACAAUCUGAGCACAUGCUCACUAGUUGAGCGAUUCUCCUCCAUCUUUUAGCUAUAGAACUUGUUGGAGACUUCAUAUCUCUCAACUCGGGUAUUUGCUUGAAAUAUUAACUUCAAUUCCUGGAACAUCUCAUAUGGUCCAUGACGUUCAAAACGUCUUUGAAGUCCCGAUUCUAAGCCGUUAAGCAUGGUGCACUAAACUAUCAAGUAGUCAUCAUAUUGAGCUAGCCAGACGUUCAUAACUUCUGCAUCUGCUCCUGCAAUAGGUCCGUCACCUAGCGGUGCAUUAAGGACAUAAUUCUUCUGUGCAGCAAUGAGGAUUUAACCUCAGAUCACGGAUCAAAUCCGCAACAUUGCUACUAACAUUUUUCAACACAAUUUUCUCUAGGAACAUAUCAAAAUAAACACAGGGAAGCAACAACGCGAGCUAUUGAUCUACAACAUGAUUUGCAAAAUACUACCAGGACUAAGUUCAUGAUAAAUUUAAGUUCAAUUUAAUCAUAUUACUUAAGAACUCCCACUUAGAUAGACAUCCCUCUAAUCCUCUAAGUGAUCACGUGAUCCAAAUCAACUAAACCAUGUCCGAUCAUCACGUGAGAUGGAGUAGUUUCAUUGGUGAACAUCACUAUGUUGAUCAUAUCUACUAUAUGAUUCACGCUUGACCUUUCGGUCUCCGUGUUCCGAGGCCAUAUCUGUAUAUGCUUGGCUCGUCAAGUAUAACCUGAGUAUUCCGCGUGUGCAACUGUUUUGCACCCGUUGUAUUUGAACGUAGAGCCUAUCACACCCGAUCAUCACGUGGUGUCUCAGCACGAAGAACUUUCGCAAUGGUGCAUACUCAGGGAGAACACUUCUUGAUAAUUAGUGAGAGAUCAUCUUAAAAUGCUACCGUCAAUCAAAGCAAGAUAAGAUGCAUAAAGGAUAAACAUCACAUGCAAUCAAUAUAAGUGAUAUGAUAUGGCCAUCAUCAUCUUGUGCUUGUGAUCUCCAUCUUCAAAGCACCGUCGUGAUCACCAUCGUCACCGGCGCGACACCUUGAUCUCCAUCAUAGCAUCGUUGUCGUUACGCCAUCUAUUGCUUCUAUGACUAUCGCUACCGCUUAGUGAUAAAGUAAAGCAAUUACAGGGCGUUUGCAUUUCAUACAAUAAAGCGACAACCAUAUGGCUCCUGCCAGUUGCCGAUAACUUCGGUUACAAAACAUGAUCAUCUCAUACAAUAAAAUAUAGCAUCAUGUCUUGGCCAUAUCACAUCACAACAUGCCCUGCAAAAACAAGUUAGACGUCCUCUACUUUGUUGUUGCAAAUUUUACGUGGCUGCUACGGGCUUAAGCAAGAACCAAUCUCACCUACGCAUCAAAACCACAACGAUAGUUUGUCAAAUAGACUCCGUUUUAACCUUCACAAGGACCGGGCGUAGCCACACUCGGUUCAACUAAAGUGAGAGAGACAGACACCCGCCAGCCACCUUUAAGCACGAGUGCUCGUAACGGUGAAACCAGUCUCGCGUAAGCGUACGCGUAAUGUCGGUUCGGGCCGCUUCAUCUCACAAUACCGCUGAACCAAAGUAUGACAUGCUGGUAGGCAGUAUGACUUAUAUCGUCCACAACUCACUUGUGUUCUACUCGUGCAUAUAACAUCAACGCAUAAAACCUAGGCUCGGAUGCCACUGUUGGGGAACGUAGUAAUUUCAAAAUUUUCCUACGCACACGCAAGAUCAUGGUGAUGAUAUAGCAACGAGGGGAGAGUGUUGUCUACGUACCCUCGUAGACCGAAGCAGAAGCGUUGACGCAACGUAGAGGAAGUAGUCGUACGUCCUCCGGUUCAACCGAUCCAAGUACCGUUACUCCGGCACCUCCGAGUUCUUGACACGCGUACAGCUCGAUGACGCACCCUCGAUCUCCGAUCCAGCAGAGGCGCCGAGGGGGAGUUCCGUCAGCACGACGGCGUGGUGACGAUCUUGAUGUUCUCCUGUUGCAGGGCUUCGCCUAAGCACCGCUACAAUAUGACCGAGGUGUAAUAUCGUGGAGGGGGGCACCGCACACGGCUAAGGAACGAUCAAUGAUCAACUUGUGUGUUCUAGGGUGCCCCCCUACCCCCGUAUAUAAAGGAGGGAGGGAGGAGGUGGCCGGCCCUAGGGGGGCGCGCCAUGAGGAGGGGGAAACCUACUCCAAGUAGGUUUCCCUCUCUUUUCCUUAUCUUAUUUGGAGGGGGGAGGAAAGAGUACUAGUAUUAGGAAGUAGUACUAGUAGUAGUAAUAGGAAGAGGGGGAAGGAGAAAGGAAAGGGGGGGCCGGCCCCCCUCUCCAAUUCGGAUUGGGCUUGGGGGGGCGCGCCCCCCUCCCUUGUUCCUUCUCUCUUCCUCCUACAUGGGCCCAAUAAGGCCCAUAUACCUCCCGGGGGGUUCCGGUAACCUCCCGGGGCUCCAAACUUCUCCGGAACCUUUCCGGUGUCCAAAUAUAUCCGUCCAAUAUAUCAAUCUUUAUGUCUCGACCAUUUCGAGACUCCUCGUCAUGUCCGUAAUCAUAUCCGGGACUCCGAACAACCUUCGGUACAUCAAAAUACAUAAACUCAUAAUAUAACUGUCAUCGAAACCUUAAGCGUGCGGACCCUACGGUUCGAGAACGAUGUAGACAUGACUGAGACACAUCUCUGGUCAAUAACCAAUAGCGGGACCUGGAUGCCCAUAUUGGUUCCUACAUAUUCUACGAAGAUCUUUAUCGGUCAAACCGCAUAACAACAUACGUUGUUCCCUUUGUCAUCGGUAUGUUACUUGUCCGAGAUUCGAUCGUCGGUAUCCAAUACCUAGUUCAAUCUCGUUAUCGACAAGUCUCUUUACUCGUUCUGUAAUACUUCAUCUUAUAACUAACUCAUUAGUUACAUGCUUGCAAGGCUUAGGUGAUUAGCAUUGCCGAGAGGGCCCAGAGAUACCUCUCCAACAAUCGGAGUGACAAAACCUAAUCUCGAAUUAUGCUAACUCAACAUGUACCUUCGGAGACACCUGUAGUACUCCUUUAUAAUCACCCAGUUACGUUGUGACGUUUGGUAGUACCCAAAGUGUUCCUCCGGUAAAUGGGAGUUACACAAUUCUCAUAGUUACAGGAACAUGUAUAAGUCAUGAAGGAAGCAAUAGCAGAAUACUAAACGAUCAAGUGCUAAGCUAACGGGAUGGGUCAUGUCAAUCACCUCAUUCUCCUAAUGAUGUGAUCCCAUUAAUCAAAUGACAACACAUGUCAAUGGUUAGGAAACAUAACCAUCUUUGAUUAAUGAGCUAGUCAAGUAGAGGCAUACUAGUGACUAUAUGUUUGUCUAUGUAUUCACACAUGUAUCAUGUUUCCGGUUAAUACAAUUCUAGCAUGAAUAAUAAACAUUUAUCAUGAAAUGAGGAAAUAAAUAAUAACUUUAUUAUUGCCUCUAGGGCAUAUUUCCUUCAGUCUCCCACUUGCACUAGAGUCAAUAAUCUAGAUUACAUAGUAAUGAUUCUAACACCCAUGGAGUCUUGGUGCUGAUCAUGUUUUGCUCGUGAGAGAGGCUUAGUCAACGGGUCUGCAACAUUCAGAUCCGUAUGUAUCUUGCAAAUCUCUAUGUCCCCCACUUGGACUUGAUCCCGAAUGGAAUUGAAGCGUCUCUGGAUGUGCUUGGUCCUCUUGUGAAAUCUGGAUUCCUUUGCCAAGGCAAUUGCACCAGUAUUGUCACAGAAGAUCUUCAUUGGUCCCGAUGCACUAGGUAUGACACCUAGAUCGGAAAUGAACUCCUUCAUCCAGACUCCUUCAUUUGCUGCUUCAGAAGCAGCUAUGUACUCCGCUUCACAUGUAGAUCCCGCCAUGACGCUUUGUUUAGAACUGCACCAACUUACAGCUCCACCGUUUAAUAAAAACACGUAUCCGGUCUGCGAUUUAGAAUCGUCCGGAUCAGUGUCAAAGCUUGCAUCGACGUAACCAUUUACGACUAGCUCUUUGUCACCUCCAUAUACGAGAAACAUAUCCUUAGUCCUUUUCAGGUAUUUCAGGAUGUUCUUGACCGCUGUCCAGUGAUCCACUCCUGGAUUACUUUGGUACCUACCUGCCAAGCUUAUUGCUAAGCAUACGUCAGGUCUGGUACACAGCAUUGCAUACAUGAUAGAGCCUAUGGCUGAAGCAUAGGGAACAUCUUUCAUUUUCUCUCUAUCUUCUACUGUGGUCGGGCAUUGAGUUUGACUCAACUUCACACCUUGUAGCACAUGCAAGAAUCCUUUCUUUGCCUGAUCCAUUUUGAACUUUUUCAAAAUUUUGUCAAGGUAUGUACUUUGUGAAAGUCCUAUUAAGCGUCUUGAUCUAUCUCUAUAGAUCUUGAUGCCCAAUAUGUAAGCAGCUUCACCGAGGUCUUUCAUAGAAAAACUUUUAUUCAAGUAUCCCUUUAUGCUAUCCAGAAAUUCUAUAUCAUUUCCAAUUAAUAAUAUGUCAUCAACAUAUAAAACUAGAAAUGCUACAGAGCUCCCACUCACUUUCUUGUAAAUACAGGCUUCUCCAAAAGUCUGUAUAAAACCAUAUGCUUUGAUCACACUAUCAAAACGUUUAUUCCAACUCCGAGAUGCUUGCACCAGUCCAUAAAUGGAAUGUUGGAGCUUGCACACUUUGUCAGCACCUUUUGGAUCAACAAAACCUUCAGGUUGCAUCAUAUACAACUCUUCUUCUAGAAAUCCAUUCAAGAAUGCAGUCUUGACAUCCAUUUGCCAAAUUUCAUAAUCAUGAAAUGCAGCAAUAGCCAACAUGAUUCGGACAGACUUAAGCAUCGCUACGGGUGAGAAAGUCUCAUCGUAGUCAACCCCUUGAACUUGUCGAAAACCUUUUGCAACAAGUCGAGCUUUGUAGACAGUAACAUUACCAUCAGCGUCAGUCUUCUUCUUAAAGAUCCAUUUAUUCUCAAUGGCUUGCCGAUCAUCGGGCAAGUCAACCAAAGUCCAUACUUUGUUUUCAUACAUGGAUCCUAUCUCAGAUUUCAUGGCCUCUAGCCAUUUUGUGGAAUCUGGGCUCAUCAUCGCUUCCUCAUAGUUCGUAGGUUCAUCAUGGUCUAGUAACAUGACUUCCAGAAUAGGAUUUCCAUACCACUCUGGUGCGGAUCUUACUCUGGUAGACCUACGAGGUUCAGUAGAAACUUGAUCUGAAGUUUCAUGAUCAAUAUCAUUAGCUUCCUCACUAAUUGGUGUAGUUGUCACAGGAACUGGUUCUUGUGAUGAACUACUUUCCAAUAAGGGAGUAGAUACAGUUAUCUCAUCAAGUUCUACUUUCCUCCCACUCACUUCUUUCGAGAGAAACUCCUUCUCUAGAAAGGAUCCGAUUUUAGCAACGAAAAUCUUGCCUUCAGAUCUGUGAUAGAAGGUGUACCCAAUUGUCUCCUUUGGGUAUCCUAUGAAGAUACAUUUCUCCGAUUUGGGUUCGAGCUUAUCUGGUUGAAGUUUCUUCACAUAAGCAUCGCAGCCCCAAACUUUGAGAAACGACAACUUUGGUUUCUUGCCAAACCACAGUUCAUAAGGCGUCGUCUCAACGGAUUUUGAUGGUGCCCUAUUUAACGUGAAUGCGGCCGUCUCUAAAGCAUAACCCCAAAACGAUAGCGGUAAAUCGGUAAGAGACAUCAUAGAUUGCACCAUAUCAAGUAAAGUACGAUUACGACGUUCGGACACACCAUUUCGCUGUGGUGUUCCAGGUGGCGUGAGUUGCGAAACUAUUCCACAUUGUUUCAAAUGUAAACCAAACUCGUAACUCAAAUAUUCUCCUCCACGAUCAGAUCGUAGAAACUUUAUUUUCUUGUUACGAUGAUUUUCUACUUCACUCUGAAAUUCUUUGAACUUUUCAAAUGUUUCAGACUUGUGCUUCAUCAAGUAGAUAUACCCAUAUCUGCUCAAAUCAUCUGUGAAGGUGAGGAAAUAACGAUAUCCGCCACGAGCCUCAACAUUCAUCGGACCACAUACAUCUGUAUGUAUGAUUUCCAACAAAUCUGUUGCUCUCUCCAUAGAUCCGGAGAACGGUGUUUUGGUCAUCUUGCCCAUGAGGCACGGUUCGCAAGUACCAAGUGAUUCAUAAUCAAGUGAUUCCAGAAGUCCAUCAGUAUGGAGUUUCUUCAUGCGUUUUACACCGAUAUGACCUAAACGGCAGUGCCACAAAUAUGUUGCACUAUCAUUAUCAACUUUGCAUCUUUUGGCUUCAACAUUAUGAAUAUGUGUAUCACUACUAUCGAGAUUUAAUAAAAAUAGACCACUCUUCAAGGGUGCAUGACCAUAAAAGAUAUUACUCAUAUAAAUAGAACAACCAUUAUUCUCUGAUUUAAAUGAAUAACCGUCUCGCAUUAAACAAGAUCCAGAUAUAAUGUUCAUGCUCAACGCAGGCACCAAAUAACAAUUAUUCAGGUCUAAAACUAAUCCUGAUGGUAGAUGUAGAGGUAGCGUGCCGACCGCGAUCACAUCGACUUUGGAACCAUUUCCCACGCGCAUCGUCACCUCGUCCUUAGCUAAUCUUCGCUUAAUCCGUAGUCCCUGUUUCGAGUUGCAAAUGUUAGCAACAGAACCAGUAUCAAAUACCCAGGUGCUACUGCGAGCAUUAGUAAGGUACACAUCAAUAACAUGUAUAUCACAUAUACCUUUGUUCACUUUGCCAUCCUUCUUAUCCGCCAAAUACUUGGGGCAGUUCCGCUUCCAGUGUCCAGUCUGCUUGCAGUAGAAGCACUCAGUUUCAGGCUUAGGUCCAGACUUGGGUUUCUUCACUUGAGCAGCAACUUGUUUGCCGUUCCUUUUGAAGUUCCCCUUCUUCUUCCCUUUGCCCCUUUUCUUGAAACCAGUCGUCUUGUUGACCAUCAACACUUGAUGCUCCUUUUUGAUUUCUACCUCCGCGGCUUUCAGCAUCGCGAAGAGCUCGGGAAUAGUCUUGUUCAUCCCUUGCAUAUUAUAGUUCAUCACAAAGCUCUUGUAGCUUGGUGGCAGUGAUUGGAGAAUUUUGUCAAUGACGCUAUCAUCCGGAAGAUUAACUCCCAGUUGAAUCAAGUGAUUAUUAUACCCAGACAUUUUGAGUAUAUGCUCAUUGACAGAACUGUUCUCCUCCAUCUUGCAGCUGCAGAACUUAUUGGAGACUUCAUAUCUCUCAAUCCGGGCAUUUGCUUGAAAUAUUAACUUCAACUCCUGGAACAUCUCAUAUGCCCCAUGACGUUCAAAACGUCGUUGAAGACCCGGUUCUAAGCUGUAAAGCAUGGCACACUGAACUAUAGAGUAGUCAUCAGCUUUGCUCUGCCAGACGUUCUUAACGUCGUCAGUUGCAUCAAAAGCAGGCCUGGCACCUAGCGGUGCUUCCAGGACGUAACUCUUCUGUGCAGCAAUGAGGAUAAUCCUCAGGUUACGGACCCAGUCCGUGUAAUUGCUACCAUCAUCUUUCAACUUUGCUUUCUCAAGGAACGCAUUAAAAUUCAACGGAACAACAGCACGAGCCAUCUAUCUACAAACAAACAUAGACAAGCAAAAUACUAUCAGGUACUAAGUUCAUGAUAAAUUUAAGUUCAAUUAAUCAUAUUACUAAAGAACUCCCACUUAGACAGACAUCUCUCUAGUCAUCUAAGUGAUUACGUGAUCCAAAUCAACUAAACCAUGUCCGAUCAUCACGUGAGAUGGAGUAGUUUCAAUGGUGAACAUCUCUAUGUUGAUCAUAUCUACUAUAUGAUUCACGCUCGACCUUUCGGUCCCCGUGUUCCGAGGCCAUAUCUGUAUAUGCUAGGCUCGUCAAGUAUAACCUGAGUAUUCCGCGUGUGCAACUGUUUUGCACCCGUUGUAUUUGAACAUAGAGCCUAUCACACCCGAUCAUCACGUGGUGUCUCAGCACGAAGAACUUUCGCAACGGUGCAUACUCAGGGAGAACACUUCUUGAUAAUUAGUGAGAGAUCAUCUUAAAAUGCUACCGUCAAUCAAAGCAAGAUAAGAUGCAUAAAGGAUAAACAUCACAUGCAAUCAAUAUAAGUGAUAUGAUAUGGACAUCAUCAUCUUGUGCUUGUGAUCUCCAUCUUCGAAGCACCGUCGUGAUCACCAUCGUCACCGGCGCGACACCUUGAUCUCCAUCGUAGCAUCGUUGUCGUUACGCCAUCUAUUGCUUCUACGACUAUCGCUACCGCUUAGUGAUAAAGUAAAGCAAUUACAGGGCGUUUGCAUUUCAUACAAUAAAGCGACAACCAUAUGGCUCCUGCCAGUUGCCGAUAACUUCGGUUACAAAACAUGAUCAUCUCAUACAAUAAAAUAUAGCAUCAUGUCUUGGCCAUAUCACAUCACAACAUGCCCUGCAAAAACAAGUUAGACGUCCUCUACUUUGUUGUUGCAAAUUUUACGUGGCUGCUACGGGCUUAAGCAAGAACCAAUCUCACCUACGCAUCAAAACCACAACGAUAGUUUGUCAAAUAGACUCCGUUUUAACCUUCACAAGGACCGGGCAUAGCCACACUCGGUUCAACUAAAGUGAGAGAGACAGACACCCGCCAGCCACCUUUAAGCACGAGUGCUCGUAACGGUGAAACCAGUCUCGCGUAAGCGUACGCGUAAUGUCGGUCCGGGCCGCUUCAUCUCACAAUACCGCUGAACCAAAGUAUGACAUGCUGGUAGGCAGUAUGAUUUAUAUCGUCCACAACUCACUUGUGUUCUACUCGUGCAUAUAACAUCAACGCAUAAAACCUAGGCUCUGAUGCCACUGUUGGGGAACGUAGUAAUUUCAAAAAAUUUCCUACGCACAUGCAAGAUCAUGGUGAUGAUAUAGCAACGAGGGGAGAGUGUUGUCUACGUACCCUCGUAGACCGAAGCGGAAGCGUUGACGCAACGUAGAGGAAGUAGUCGUACGUCCUCCGGUUCAACCGAUCCAAGUACCGUUACUCCGGCACCUCCGAGUUCUUGACACGCGUACAGCUCGAUGACGCACCCUCGAUCUCCGAUCCAGCAGAGGCGCCGAGGGGGAGUUCCGUCAGCACGACGGCGUGGUGACGAUCUUGAUGUUCUCCUGUUGCAGGGCUUCGCCUAAGCACCGCUACAAUAUGACCGAGGUGUAAUAUCGUGGAGGGGGGCACCGCACACGGCUAAGGAACGAUCAAUGAUCAACUUGUGUGUUCUAGGGUGCCCCCCUACCCCCGUAUAUAAAGGAGGGAUGGAGGAGGUGGCCGGCCCUAGGGGGGGCGCGCCAUGAGGAGGGGGAAACCUACUCCAAGUAGGUUUCCCUCUCUUUUCCUUAUCUUAUUUGGAGGGGGAAGGAAAGAGUACUAGUAUUAGGAAGUAGUACUAGUAGUAGUAAUAGGAAGAGGGGGAAGGAGAAAGGAAAGGGGGGGCCGGCCCCCCUCCCCAAUUCGGAUUGGGCUUGGGGGGGCGCGCCCCCCUCCCUUGCUCCUUCUCUCUUCUUCCUACACGGGCCCAAUAAGGCCCAUAUACCUCCCGGGGGGUUCCGGUAACCUCCCGGGGCUCCAAACUUCUCCGGAACCUUUCCGGUGUCCAAAUAUAUCCGUCCAAUAUAUCAAUCUUUAUGUCUCGACCAUUUCGAGACUCCUCGUCAUGUCCGCAAUCAUAUCCGGGACUCCAAACAACCUUCGGUACAUCAAAAUACAUAAACUCAUAAUAUAACUGUCAUCGAAACCUUAAGCGUGCGGACCCUACGGUUCAAGAACGAUGUAGACAUGACUGAGACACAUCUCUGGUCAAUAACCAAUAGCGGGACCUGGAUGCCCAUAUUGGUUCCUACAUAUUCUACGAAGAUCUUUAUCGGUCAAACCGCAUAACAACAUACGUUGUUCCCUUUGUCAUCGGUAUGUUACUUGUCCGAUAUUCGAUCGUCGGUAUCCAAUACCUAGUUCAAUCUCGUUAUCGACAAGUCUCUUUACUCGUUCUGUAAUACUUUAUCUUAUAACUAACUCAUUAGUUACAUGCUUGCAAGGCUUAGGUGAUGAGCAUUGCCGAGAGGGCCCAGAGAUACCUCUCCGACAAUCGGAGUGACAAAACCUAAUCUCGAAUUAUGCUAACUCAACAUGUACCUUCGGAGACACCUGUAGUACUCCUUUAUAAUCACCCAGUUACGUUGUGACGUUUGGUAGUACCCAAAGUGUUCCUCCGGCAAACGGGAGUUACACAAUUCUCAUAGUUACAGGAACAUGUAUAAGUCAUGAAGGAAGCAAUAGCAGAAUACUAAACGAUCAAGUGCUAAGCUAACGGGAUGGGUCAUGUCAAUCACCUCAUUCUCCUAAUGAUGUGAUCCCAUUAAUCAAAUGACAACACAUGUCAAUGGUUAGGAAACAUAACCAUCUUUGAUUAAUGAGCUAGUCAAGUAGAGGCAUACUAGUGACUAUAUGUUUGUCUAUGUAUUCACACAUGUAUCAUGUUUCCGGUUAAUACAAUUCUAGCAUGAAUAAUAAACAUUUAUCAUGAAAUGAGGAAAUAAAUAAUAACUUUAUUAUUGCCUCUAGGGCAUAUUUCCUUCACUANNNNNNNNNNNNNNNNNNNNNNNNNNNNNNNNNNNNNNNNNNNNNNNNNNNNNNNNNNNNNNNNNNNNNNNNNNNNNNNNNNNNNNNNNNNNNNNNACAAGUUAGACGUCCUCUACUUUGUUGUUGCAUGUUUUACGUGGCUGCUACGGGCUUAAGUAAGAACCAAUCUCACCUACGCAUCAAAACCACAACGAUAGUUUGUCAAAUAGACUCCGUUUUAACCUUCUCAAGGACCGGGCGUAGCCAUACUUGGUUCAACUAAAGUUGGAGAGGCAGUCGCCCGCAAGCCAUCUCUGUGCAAAGCACGUCGAGGGAACCGGUCUCGCGUAAGCGUACGCGUAAGGUUGGUCCGGGUCGUCUCGUCCAACAAUACCGCUGAACCAAAAUAUGACAUGCUGGUAGGCAGUAUGACUUGUAUCGUCCACAACUCACUUGUGUUCUACUCGUGCAUAUAACAUCAACAUCAUUAACCUAGGCUCUGAUACCACUGUUGGGUUUCGUAGUAAUUUCAAAAAUUUUCCUACGCGCACACAGGAUCAUGUGAUGCAUAGCAACGAGAGGAGAGUGUUGUCUACGUACCCAACGCAGACCGACUGCGGAAGCGAUGACACGACGUAGAGGAAGUAGUCGUACGUCUUCACGAUCCAACCGAUCAAGCACCGAAACUAUGGCACCUCCUAGUUCGAGCACACGUUCAGCUCGAUGACGAUCCCCGGACUCCGAUCCAGCAAAGUGUCGGGGAAGAGUUUCGUCAGCACGACGGCGUGGUGACGAUCUUGAUGAACUACAGCAGCAGGGCUUCGCCUAAACUCCGCUACAGUAUUAUCGAGGAAUAUGGUGGCAGGGGGCACCGCACACGGCUAAGGAAUCGAUCACGUGGAUCAACUUGUGUCAACUUGUGUGUUUAGAGGUGCCCCUGCCUCAGUAUAUAAAGGAGGAGAGGAGGGGAGGCUGGCCGGCCAAAGAGGGAGGCGCAGGAGAGUCCUACUCCCUCUGGGAGUAGGAUUCCUCCCCCCAAUCCUAGUCCAACUAGGAUUCCUCGGAGGGGAAGGGAGAGAGGGGGGCCGGCCAUCUUCUCCUAGUCCUAAUAGGACUAGGGGAGGGGGAAGAGGCGCAGCCACCUUGGGCUGCCCCUUUCUCCUUUCCACUAAGGCCCAUGAAGGCCCAUAUGGCUCCCGGGGGGUUCCGGUAACCUCCCGGUAACCCGGUAAAAUCCCGAUUUCACCCGGAACACUUCCGAUGUCCAAACAUAGGCUUCCAAUAUAUCAAUCUUUACGUCUCGACCAUUUCGAGACUCCUCGUCAUGUCCGUGAUCAUAUCCGGGACUCCGAACAACCUUCGGUACAUCAAAAUGCAUAAACUCAUAAUAUAACCGUCAUCGUAACCUUAAGCGUGCGGACCCUACGGGUUCGAGAACAAUGUAGACAUGACCGAGACAUGUCUCUGGUCAAUAACCAAUAGCGGGACCUGGAUGCCCAUAUUGGCUCCUACAUAUUCUACGAAGAUCUUUAUCGGUCAGACCGCAUAACAACAUACGUUGUUCCCUUUGUCAUCGGUAUGUUACUUGCCCGAGAUUCGAUCGUCGAUAUCCAAUACCUAGUUCAAUCUCGUUACUGGCAAGUCUCUUUACUCGUUCCGUAAUACAUCAUCUCACAACUAACAUAUUAGUUGUAAUGCUUGCAAGGCUUAUGUGAUGUGUAUUACCGAGAGGGCCCAGAGAUACCUCUCCGACAAUCGGAGUGACAAAUCCUAAUCUCGAAAUACGCCAACCCAACAUCGACCAUUGGAGACACCUGUAGUACUCCUUUAUAAUCACCCAUUUACGUUGUGACGUUUGGUAGUACCCAAAGUGUUCCUCCGGUAAACGGGAGUUGCAUAAUCUCAUAGUCAUAGGAACAUGUAUAAGUCAUGAAGAAAGCAAUAGCAACAUACUAAACGAUCAGGUGCUAAGCUAAUGGAAUGGGUCAUGUCAAUCAGAUCAUUCUACUAAUGAUGUGACCUCGUUAAUCAAAUAACAACUCAUUGUUCAUGGUUAGGAAACAUAACCAUCUUUGAUUAACGAGCUAGUCAAGUAGAGGCAUACUAGUGACACUCUGUUUGUCUAUGUAUUCACACAUGUAUUAUGUUUCCGGAAAAUACAAUUCUAGCAUGAAUAAUAAACACUUAUCAUGAUUAUAAGGAAAUAAAUAAUAACUUUAUUAUUGUCUCUAGGGCAUAUUUCCUUCACUCCAUAGAUCCGGAGAACGGUGUUUUGGUCAUCUUGCCCAUGAGGCACGGUUCGCAAGUACCAAGUGAUUCAUAAUCAAGUGAUUCCAGAAGUCCAUCAAUAUGGAGUUUCUUCAUGCGUUUUACACCGAUAUGACCUAAACGGCAGUGCCACAAAUAUGUUGCACUAUCAUUAUCAACUCUGCAUCUUUUGGCUUCAACAUUAUGAAUAUGUGUAUCACUACUAUCGAGAUUUAAUAAAAAUAGACCACUCUUCAAGGGUGCAUGACCAUAAAAGAUAUUACUCAUAUAAAUAGAACAACCAUUAUUCUCUGAUUUAAAUGAAUAACCGUCUCGCAUCAAACAAGAUCCAGAUAUAAUGUUCAUGCUCAACGCAGGCACCAAAUAACAAUUAUUCAGGUCUAAAACUAAUCCCGAUGGUAGAUGUAGAGGUAGCGUGCCGACCGUGAUCACAUCGACUUUGGAACCAUUUCUCACGCGCAUCGUCACCUCGUUCUUAGCUAAUCUUCGCUUAAUCCAUAGUCCCUGUUUCGAGUUGCAAAUGUUAGCAACAGAACCAGUAUCAAAUACCCAGGUGCUACUGCGAGCAUUAGUAAGGUACACAUCAAUAACAUGUAUAUCACAUAUACCUUUGUUUACUUUGCCAUCCUUCUUAUCCGCCAAAUACUUGGGGCAGUUCCGCUUCCAGUGUCCAGUCUGCUUGCAGUAGAAGCACUCAGUUUCAGGCUUAGGUCCAGACUUGGGUUUCUUCACUUGAGCAGCAACUUGUUUGCUGUUCCUUUUGAAGUUCCCCUUCUUCUUCCCUUUGCCCCUUUUCUUGAAACCAGUGGUCUUGUUGACCAUCAACACUUGAUGCUCCUUUUUGAUUUCUACCUCCGCGGCUUUCAGCAUCGCGAAGAGCUCGGGAAUAGUCUUGUUCAUCCCUUGCAUAUUAUAGUUCAUCACAAAGCUCUUGUAGCUUGGUGGCAGUGAUUGGAGAAUUCUGUCAAUGACGCUAUCAUCCGGAAGAUUAACUCCCAGUUGAAUCAAGUGAUUAUUAUACCCAGACAUUUUGAGUAUAUGCUCACCGACAGAACUAUUCUCCUCCAUCUUGCAGCUGUAGAACUUAUUGGAGACUUCAUAUCUCUCAAUCCAGGCAUUUGCUUGAAAUAUUAACUUCAACUCCUUGAACAUCUCAUAUGCCCCAUGACGUUCAAAACGUCGUUGAAGACCCGGUUCUAAGCCGUAAAGCAUGGCACACUGAACUAUAGAGUAGUCAUCAGCUUUGCUCUGCCAGACGUUCUUAACGUCGUCAGUUGCAUCAGCAGCAGGCCUGGCACCCAGCGGUGCUUCCAGGACGUAACUCUUCUGUGCAGCAAUGAGGAUAAUCCUCAGGUUACGGACCCAGUCCGUGUAAUUGCUACCAUCAUCUUUCAACUUUGCUUUCUCAAGGAACGCAUUAAAAUUCAACGGAACAAUAGCACGAGCCAUCUAUCUACAUACAAACAUAGACAAGCAAAAUACUAUCAGGUACUAAGUUCAUGAUAAAUUUAAGUUCAAUUAAUCAUAUUACUAAAGAAGUCCCACUUAGACAGACAUCUCUCUAGUCAUCUAAGUGAUUACGUGAUCCAAAUCAACUAAACCAUGUCCGAUCAUCACGUGAGAUGGAGUAGUUUCAAUGGUGAACAUCUCUAUGUUGAUCAUAUCUACUAUAUGAUUCACGCUCGACCUUUCGGUCCCCGUGUUCCGAGGCCAUAUCUGUAUAUGCUAGGCUCGUCAAGUAUAACCUGAGUAUUCCGCGUGUGCAACUGUUUUGCACCCGUUGUAUUUGAACGUAGAGCCUAUCACACCCGAUCAUCACGUGGUGUCUCGGCACGAAGAACUUUUGCAACGGUGCAUACUCAGGGAGAACACUUCUUGAUAAUUAGUGAGAGAUCAUCUUAAAAUGCUACCGUCAAACAAAGCAAGAUAAGAUGCAAAAAGGAUAAACAUCACAUGCAAUCAAUAUAAGUGAUAUGAUAUGGUCAUCAUCAUCUUGUGCUUGUGAUCUCCAUCUUCGAAGCACCGUCGUGAUCACCAUCGUCACCGGCGCGACACCUUGAUCUCCAUCGUAGCAUCGUUUUCGUUACGCCAUCUAUUGCUUCUACGACUAUCGCUAUCGCUUAGAGAUAAAGUAAAGCAAUUACAGGGCGUUUGCAUUUCAUACAAUAAAGCGACAACCAUAUGGCUCCUGCCAGUUGCCGAUAACUUCGGUUACAAAACAUGAUCAUCUCAUACAAUAAAAUAUAGCAUCAUGUCUUGGCCAUAUCACAUCACAACAUGCCCUGCAAAAACAAGUUAGACGUCCUCUACUUUGUUGUUGCAAAUUUUACGUGGCUGCUACGGGCUUAAGCAAGAACCAAUCUCACCUACGCAUCAAAACCACAACGAUAGUUUGUCAAAUAGACUCCGUUUUAACCUUCACAAGGACCGGGCAUAGCCACACUCGGUUCAACUAAAGUGAGAGAGACAGACACCCGCCAGCCACCUUUAAGCACGAGUGCUCGUAACGGUGAAACCAGUCUCGCGUAAGCGUACGCGUAAUGUCGGUCCGGGCCGCUUCAUCUCACAAUACCGCUGAACCAAAGUAUGACAUGCUGGUAGGCAGUAUGACUUAUAUCGUCCACAACUCACUUGUGUUCUACUCGUGCAUAUAACAUCAACGCAUAAAACCUAGGCUCGGAUGCCACUGUUGGGGAACGUAGUAAUUUCAAAAAAUUUCCUACGCACACGCAAGAUCAUGGUGAUGAUAUAGCAACGAGGGGAGAGUGUUGUCUACGUACCCUCGUAGACCGAAGCGGAAGUGUUGACGCAACAUAGAGGAAGUAGUCGUACGUCCUCCGGUUCAACCGAUCCAAGUACCGUUACUCCGGCACCUCCGAGUUCUUGACACGCGUACAGCUCGAUGACGCACCCUCGAUCUCCGAUCCAGCAGAGGCGCCGAGGGGGAGUUCCGUCAGCACGACGGCGUGGUGACGAUCUUGAUGUUCUCCUGUUGCAGGGCUUCGCCUAAGCACCGCUACAAUAUGACCGAGGUGUAAUAUCGUGGAGGGGGGCACCGCACACGGCUAAGGAACGAUCAAUGAUCAACUUGUGUGUUCUAGGGUGCCCCCCUACCCCCGUAUAUAAAGGAGGGAGGGAGGAGGUGGCCGGCCCUAGGGGGGGCGCGCCAUGAGGAGGGGGAAACCUACUCCAAGUAGGUUUCCCUCUCUUUUCCUUAUCUUAUUUGGAGGGGGGAGGAAAGAGUACUAGUAUUAGGAAGUAGUACUAGUAGUAGUAAUAGGAAGAGGGGGAAGGAGAAAGGAAAGGGGGGGCCGGCCCCCCUCCCCAAUUCGGAUUGGGCUUGGGGGGGCGCGCCCCCUUCCCUUGCUCCUUCUCUCUUCCUCCUACAUGGGCCCAAUAAGGCCCAUACACCUCCCGGGGGGUUCCGGUAACCUCCCGGGGCUCCAAACUUCUCCGGAACCUUUCCGGUGUCCAAAUAUAUCCGUCCAAUAUAUCAAUCUUUAUGUCUCGACCAUUUCGAGACUCCUCGUCAUGUCCGUAAUCAUAUCCGGGACUCCGAACAACCUUCGGUACAUCAAAAUACAUAAACUCAUAAUAUAACUGUCAUCGAAACCUUAAGCGUGCGGACCCUACGGUUCGAGAACGAUGUAGACAUGACUGAGACACAUCUCUGGUCAAUAACCAAUAGCGGGACCUGGAUGCCCAUAUUGGUUCCUACAUAUUCUACGAAGAUCUUUAUCGGUCAAACCGCAUAACAACAUACGUUGUUCCCUUUGUCAUCGGUAUGUUACUUGUCCGAGAUUCGAUCGUCGGUAUCCAAUACCUAGUUCAAUCUCGUUAUCGACAAGUCUCUUUACUCGUUCUAUAAUACUUCAUCUUAUAACUAACUCAUUAGUUACAUGCUUGCAAGGCUUAGGUGAUGAGCAUUGCCGAGAGGGCCCAGAGAUACCUCUCCGACAAUCGGAGUGACAAAACCUAAUCUCGAAUUAUGCUAACUCAACAUGUACCUUCGGAGACACCUGUAGUACUCCUUUAUAAUCACCCAGUUACGUUGUGACGUUUGGUAGUACCCAAAGUGUUCCUCCGGCAAACGGGAGUUACACAAUUCUCAUAGUUACAGGAACAUGUAUAAGUCAUGAAGGAAGCAAUAGCAGAAUACUAAACGAUCAAGUGCUAAGCUAACGGGAUGGGUCAUGUCAAUCACCUCAUUCUCCUAAUGAUGUGAUCCCAUUAAUCAAAUGACAACACAUGUCAAUGGUUAGGAAACAUAACCAUCUUUGAUUAAUGAGCUAGUCAAGUAGAGGCAUACUAGUGACUAUAUGUUUGUCUAUGUAUUCACACAUGUAUCAUGUUUCCGGUUAAUACAAUUCUAGCAUGAAUAAUAAACAUUUAUCAUGAAAUGAGGAAAUAAAUAAUAACUUUAUUAUUGCCUCUAGGGCAUAUUUCCUUCACUAUUCCUACGGAGCGACCCGCCGGACCAGCGCGUAGGAUUAGCUAUUCUGUGUGCUCGCUUAGUUUAGCGCCAUCGUGUGUGUCUCUAUAUUUAUUUAUUUAUUUAUUUAUUUAUUUGUUCAGGACACAUACAAUCGUAUUUUUUAAUCCCUUCGUUGGAUCAUGUUAUAUUGUAGAUAUGUUGUUUCAGUAUUUUUUUUCAUAAAGGCCUGCUGCAGCCGACAGUUGUGUCAAUGUCCGAAUAUAUAUCCUGGACUAAAUAUAUAUCAGAGUAUAUGUUCUUGCAGUAUACACCAUUGUUGUUUGUGUUAGUAGCCCAACAUCUGCUUGAUAGUAUUUCUUAGUUGUGUCAAUGGAAAACUGUGAGUGAUUUUCAUUUGAUUGUUCUUGCAUAGUAAUCCAUAUGCACGCAUUACACCUGAGAAGGGCUGAUUUACAUUUGUCCAGCUAGCCGGCAAGAAUGACAAUAACCUACUUAUUAUAGUUGUAUGCUAUACCUGCAGUGUAUUCAUACACAACCAAACACACCCGCCUUCAGCCUUGCUCGACGCCUCAGGGGGCGGCUCAGACGAACCCUAGUUGGCGCCACCCCUGACCCUUCAUCCCUCCCUGCCUCCUCGCUGCCGCUGAAGAAGGCGGGCGAGCGAAGCUCGCCUGGCGGACGGCGGGCUCUCCUCCUGUCUCUGCGAGGGGAUCUUUGGCCGAGACGAGACGGUGACCCCGGGCGCCCGGCAUGGAGGUGUAGUUGGCACAAUUGGGCAGCGGCCCGAUGGGAUUCCGGCGGUGGCUGGGCCACCAUCACUGCGGGGACAACAUGAGGCCGUCCAUGGCAGCUGGCAGCGGCGGAUUUGGAGAUUCCCACCCCAAAUCGGUUCUCCUCCGUCAUAACACGGACGCCUCGGGUGGAGACCCUGGGCUUGGCGGUGGUGGCCAUCUCCUUCGUCGAGAUGGUCGGCCUAAAGGCUGGGUGGUCGGAUCAUUAGAUCCGUCAUCUAGUCCCGGCUAUGAGUUGGGAGAUAUAGUUGCUGGUGAAAACCGAGUCGACGGCGGGCGAUAGCGGCAUUCUGCGUCGUUAUGUUGAUGAAGGCAUUGUCGUGUAACUACUGUCGACCCACUCGUGCUACUCUGGAGGAAACCCUACGAUCAAUUCUUCUCGAUCGGGAGAUGGAGGCCAUGCGGUGUCGUUUCUCUUUUAGGAGCAUUGUUUGUGGAGUAGUGCUAGACGGCAGAGGCAGGGGGUGCAUCGGCUUCGUCUUGCGCGGAGCUUCGGUGGAGAUGUCGAAUCAUGCCUGGCAGAGGGUGCUACGUUGUGUCAUGCCUGUUCGGCAGGUGUUGUGCACGACGGAUAUUGCAGAGACUUCAAGCUACGUCGGCUGCUGGUACCUGGCGGCAUGGUGUUGCGCUGUACCAGUGGCAUCUAUGACAUCCGUGACGUGCUCAGCAGUUUCCGCGCAUGGAGGUGGUGCCAUUGGGCACCAUAGUGGCGUUGACGGAUGGUCGGACUGGGGAGGAUGAUGCGGAUCUUUGUGCUAAAGAUGGGUCGGCGGUUCGAUGGUGACGACGACUUCUAAAACGUGUGCGUGUGGUGUAAGCUUUAGAUUUGCUGCAUCGACUAUAGGUUUCGAUACGUUAUGUGGAUAGAUUGGUAACGACACCGAUUUUAGAUAUGGGGAGUGAGAGCACUCCAUAUUAUCAAGUUUAUAGGUGUGAGUGGUAGCUUCGAGUGGCUUGAUGUAUGUUCAUCUCAUGCCUUUGUUGAAUAAUUAAUAAAGAUGGUUGCAUGCCUUUGUUGAAUAAUUAAUAAAGAUGGUUGCAUGCAUCUAUUGACGCAGAGGCCGGGUUUUUAACCUCCUUUUUCGAGAAAAAAAUGUGCAAUGUAUUCAUAUGAUUAGUAUUUUUGCUAAUUAGUUCUUAUGCAAUCCAUGCUUAUUGGCAGCUGAGAGAAAUAGGCAUGGUUGAUGAGAAAGAACAUUACUUUUUCCAAGAUGGUGCUGCGGCGAGAUGAAAGGAACAUUUCAACGUUGAUGACACUCCCUUGUUUGUGCCUCGACCACAAGCACUCCUUCCAAC
This 35177-nucleotide long non-coding RNA is filed under the name Triticum aestivum (bread wheat). Its description in RNAcentral is "long non-coding RNA (TAES_LNC020604)". The record is from RNAcentral. Lineage: Eukaryota; Viridiplantae; Streptophyta; Magnoliopsida; Poales; Poaceae.